This 216-nucleotide long non-coding RNA is filed under the name Nicotiana benthamiana. RNAcentral's name for it is "long non-coding RNA (NBEN_LNC038058)". Lineage: Eukaryota; Viridiplantae; Streptophyta; Magnoliopsida; Solanales; Solanaceae. The record is from RNAcentral.
UUUCUACUAACUUGUCAAGCUUACGGGUGCUUAACAAACCUUUACAACUUGAGGACACACGCCUCAACACGUUUGCUCGGAGAUACAACACUCCAAGACUUCAACCAAGGAAACACAAGUUCCUUCUUACAACAAGAGAAUAACUAUUCUCUUCAAGUGUACAAAACACUAAGCACUCAAACAAGACACUCCUUAAUGAGUAGAGAUGAGUAAAAG